RNAcentral lists this transfer RNA (77 nucleotides) under Kiritimatiellia bacterium. RNAcentral describes it as "Kiritimatiellae bacterium (sponge metagenome) tRNA-Met". It matches the Rfam family "tRNA". Rfam says of the family: Transfer RNA (tRNA) molecules are approximately 80 nucleotides in length. Their secondary structure includes four short double-helical elements and three loops (D, anti-codon, and T loops). Further hydrogen bonds mediate the characteristic L-shaped molecular structure. tRNAs have two regions of fundamental functional importance: the anti-codon, which is responsible for specific mRNA codon recognition, and the 3' end, to which the tRNAs corresponding amino acid is attached (by aminoacyl-tRNA synthetases). tRNAs cope with the degeneracy of the genetic code in two manners: having more than one tRNA (with a specific anti-codon) for a particular amino acid; and 'wobble' base-pairing, i.e. permitting non-standard base-pairing at the 3rd anti-codon position. The record is from RNAcentral. Lineage: Bacteria; Pseudomonadati; Kiritimatiellota; Kiritimatiellia.
UGCGGGGUGGAGCAGUCUGGUAGCUCGUCAGGCUCAUAACCUGAAGGUCCUCGGUUCAAAUCCGAGCCCCGCUACCA